GAUGAAGAACGUAGCGAAAUGCGAUAAGUAAUGUGAAUUGCAGAAUUCAGUGAAUCAUCGAAUCUUUGAACGCACAUUGCGCCCGCUAGUAUUCUGGCGGGCAUGCCUGUCCGAGCGUCAUUUCAACCCUCAAGCCCCCGGGCUUGGUGUUGGGGAUCGGCCUCCGCAUCGGACGGCCGCCCCCGAAACCCAGUGGCGGUCCCCCCGCGGCCUUCUCUGCGUAGUAGCAUACACCUCGCACUGGAGAGCGGCGCGGCCACGCCGUAAAAGAAACGAACUUUCUCAAGGUUGACCUCGGAUCAGGUAGGAAUACCCGCUGAACUUAAGCAUAUCAAUAAGCGGAGGA
This 346-nucleotide unclassified non-coding RNA is filed under the name soil metagenome. RNAcentral's name for it is "partial contains 5.8S ribosomal RNA, internal transcribed spacer 2, and large subunit ribosomal RNA". The stretch from base 1 to 120 matches the Rfam family "5.8S ribosomal RNA", at positions 35 to 154 of the family's 154-position model. The record is from RNAcentral.